This 229-nucleotide ribosomal RNA is filed under the name uncultured bacterium. Its description in RNAcentral is "partial 16S ribosomal RNA". It matches the Rfam family "Bacterial small subunit ribosomal RNA", at positions 568 to 796 of the family's 1533-position model. The record is from RNAcentral.
GGCGUAGGCGGGAAUACAAGUCAGACGUGAAAUCCCGGAGCUUAACUCCGGAACUGCAUCUGAAACUGUAUUUCUUGAGGAUAGGUGGAGAAAACGGAAUUCCAUGUGUAGCGGUGAAAUGCGUAGAUAUGUGGAGGAACACCCGUGGCGAAAGCGGUUUUCUAGCUUAUUCCUGACGCUCAGGCCCGAAAGCUAGGGGAGCAAACAGGAUUAGAUACCCUGGUAGUCC